UACGUAGGGUGCAAGCGUUGUCCGGAAUUAUUGGGCGUAAAGGGCUCGUAGGCGGUUUGUCGCGUCGUCCGUGAAAACUGGAGGCUCAACCUCCAGCCUGCAGUGGGUACGGGCAGACUAGAGUGCGGUAGGGGGAGAUUGGAAUUCCUGGUGUAGCGGUGGAAUGCGCAGAUAUCAGGAGGAACACCAGCAGCGAAGGCGGUGGUCUGGGCCGACAUUGACGCUGAGGAGCGAAAGCGUGGGGAGCAAACAGG
RNAcentral lists this ribosomal RNA (254 nucleotides) under uncultured bacterium. RNAcentral describes it as "partial 16S ribosomal RNA". It matches the Rfam family "Bacterial small subunit ribosomal RNA", at positions 524 to 776 of the family's 1533-position model. The record is from RNAcentral.